AAGCGGCUGAAUUGAUUCUUCGGAUGAUUUUCAGUUGACUGAGCGGCGGACGGGUGAGUAACGCGUGGGUGACCUGCCCCAUACCGGGGGAUAACAGCUGGAAACGGCUGCUAAUACCGCAUAAGCGCACAGAGCUGCAUGGCUCGGUGUGAAAAACUCCGGUGGUAUGGGAUGGGCCCGCGUCUGAUUAGGCAGUUGGCGGGGUAACGGCCCACCAAACCGACGAUCAGUAGCCGGCCUGAGAGGGCGACCGGCCACAUUGGGACUGAGACACGGCCCAAACUCCUACGGGAGGCAGCAGUGGGGAAUAUUGCACAAUGGGGGAAACCCUGAUGCAGCGACGCCGCGUGAGCGAAGAAGUAUUUCGGUAUGUAAAGCUCUAUCAGCAGGGAAGAUAAUGACGGUACCUGACUAAGAAGCCCCGGCUAACUACGUGCCAGCAGCCGCGGUAAUACGUAGGGGGCAAGCGUUAUCCGGAUUUACUGGGUGUAAAGGGAGCGUAGACGGCAAGGCAAGUCUGAUGUGAAAACCCAGGGCUUAACCCUGGGACUGCAUUGGAAACUGUCUGGCUCGAGUGCCGGAGAGGUAAGCGGAAUUCCUAGUGUAGCGGUGAAAUGCGUAGAUAUUAGGAAGAACACCAGUGGCGAANGCGGCUUACUGGACGGUAACUGACGUUGAGGCUCGNAAGCGUGGGGAGCAAACA
This 703-nucleotide ribosomal RNA is filed under the name uncultured bacterium. Its description in RNAcentral is "bacterial SSU rRNA". It matches the Rfam family "Bacterial small subunit ribosomal RNA", at positions 64 to 774 of the family's 1533-position model. The record is from RNAcentral.